CUAGAGGACAUUUUGUAUAUAAACAGUGUCAAAUCCUGAGUCUCUCACAUCACAAAAUCAAAAUGGGCCUUUGCACAGUUCAAUCUAUCAAUGCAUCGCCUCCUCUUCUUCUCCCAAACCCUAAACCAUCUAUUCCCAUUAAACAAAUCCUAACCAUUCGCGCCGCUUCUCUUUUAUCCCGGUCAAUUUGCCUGAGAAAUGUUGUAUCAAAGGCGACAACAUCCGAGGAUUCGUCAAGUGAGGCAAGUCAAUUUUUUGAUGAGAAGCGUGACAAUGUCACUGUCUUGGAUGAUGAUGAAGCUCUUGAUAAUAAGAGAUUCAAUGGAAUAAACCCAAAACAAGAGUUAUCUGUGGUGGAACAAGAAGGCCUGUCAUUGAAUGUUCUGGAUAAUCUUAACAUAAAGGUUUUCUUAACAACAUUACCUGUUUAGUUUUCACUUUUCAUUAAUAUUUUUCGUGGCUUUACACAUUGAUGGAGUGACUUUGUGUUUUUUAGGUCACUGCUUUUUCAAUUGUAGUGUUUUUACCAGUUAUAGGUGCAUAUAUUUCACUGAUUCUGAUCUGGGUGUGUUUUUCCAAUUGAGUUGCUAUGAUGACAUAUCAGUUCAUUGAUGUUUGAUGAUAUUUCGGUAAUCAUGUCGAACCUGAGCGGUUAACUGAGCAACUUUGCACGUUUUCAUGUAUUUUGUUUCUGUCAUUUGCUUUAUGAUAUUGUUUAAUUUAUAAGCCUUUUUUCUUGAGUUUCCCAUGUAUAAAACACUGCUCUUUCCGAGCUGCUAUUCCUGUGUUAUUUUCAUACAUUUCACUGAUUCUGAUUUGGAGUUGCUAUGAUGAGAUAUCAGUUUAAUGAUUGUUUUAUGAUAUUUUGGCAUUCAUGUCGAACCUGAGCGGUUAACUGAGCAACUCUGCAUGUUUUCAUGCAUUUUGUUUCAUUUUCAUUUGCCUGAUAAUAUCAAGUUUUCCCUGUAAAACAAUCAUUGUUCUUCCAGAGCUGUUCCUCCUGUUUUAUUUACAUAUUUUUCACUGUUUCUGAUUUAAAUGUAAUUUUCCCAAUUGAGUUGCAAUGAUGAUAUAUCAGUUUAUUGAUUGUCUGGUGAUAUUUCGGCAAUCAUGUCGAACCUGAGCGGUUAACUGAGCAACUAUGUACGUUUUCAUGUAUUUUGUUUCUUUGUCAUUUGCUUGAUGAAAUUGUUUAGUUUACAAGGUUUUUACUUGAAUUUUCCCUGUACGAAAACAUUGUUUUUCCGAGCUUCUCUUCCUGUAUUAUUUACAUAUCUUUCACUGUUUCUGAUUUAAAUGUAAUUUUCCCAAUUGAGUUGCAAUGAUGAUAUAUCAGUUUUAUUGAUUGUCUGGUGAUAUUUUGGCAGUCAUGUCGAACCUGAGCGGUUAACUGAGCAACUAUGCACACUUUCAUGUAUUUUGUUUCUUUGUCAUUUGCUUGAUGGUCUUGUUUAGUUUACAAGGCUUUUACUUGAAUUUUCCUUGUACGAAAAUAUUGUUUUUACGAGCUUCUCUUCCUGUGUUAUUUACAUAUAUUUCGCUGAUUCUGAUUUGGAUUUAUUUCCCCCAAUUAAGUUGCUAUGAUGAGAUAUCAGUUUAUUGAUUGUUUUAUGAUAUUUUGGCAGUAAUGUCGAACCUGAGCGGUUAACUGAGCAACUCUGCACAUUUUUAUGAAUCUUGUUUCUCUGUCAUUUGCUGUGAUUAUUUACUUUAUAGGACUUCUUGAAAUUUCCCUGUAUGGUAUUAUUGUUCUUUCUGGGCUGCCUUUCCUUUGUUAUUUACAUAUAUUUUAAUGGCCCUGAUUUGGAUGUAUUCCCUCAAUUGAGUUGCUAUGAUGAGAUAUCAGUUUAUUGAUUGUUUGAUGAUAUUUCGGCUCUUAUGUCGAACCUGAGCGGUUAACUGAGCAACUCUCUCUUCAUGUGUUUUGUUUCCUUUUCAUUUACUUGAUUUAUAUGUUUUUAGUUUAUAUGGCCUUUUUCUUGAGUUUUCCCUGCACUAAAAUGUUCUUUUUGAGCUGUUCUUCCUGUGUUUUUUUACAUAUAUUUGACUGAUUCUAUUUUGGAUGAAUUUCCCUCCAAUUGAGUUGCAAUGAUGAUAAAUCAGUUUAUUGAUUGUUUGAUGAUAUUUUGGCAGUCAUGUCAAACCUGAGCGGUUAACUGAGCAACUAUGCACUUUUCUAUGUAUCUUGGUUUUUUUUUUAGUGUUCCUUGAAAAACUUAUUUUUUCUUUCUGAGCUGCUGCUCUGUCUGUGUUAUUUACAUAUAUUGCAUUGAUUCUGUCUUGGAUGAAUUUCCCCCAACUGAGUUGCUAUGAUGAGAUAUCAGUUUAUUGAUUGUUUGAUGAUAUUUCGGCAGUCAUGUCGAACCUGAGCGGUUAACUGAGCAACUCUGCAUGUUUUAAUUUAUUUUGAUCGCUUUUUAUUUGCCUGGAUGUGAUUGUUUUUAGUAUUUUUUGUACUACUAGGGGUAUCCUCUCACCUUACGGGUAAUGAAUUAAUCCCUUUCGGGGUAUGUGACUGUCCCUGCCAACUAGUCACUCCCAUGAAGAACCGUUGACAUUUUGGUCAUCAUAGGUAUCUAGUGGGAUAUAAGGCUUUUUCUGGGCUGCUCUUCCCGUGUCAUUUACUUAUGUAAUUUAUCAAAAUUUACCAGACGAGUAUUGAAAGCGGACUAAAGCUUUGAUGAUGCCUUUUGUAUAAGUAUGUAUUUUCUACUUUGCUGUGCAAUGCAUCAUUUCUGUCUACCACCAGUUUCC
Molecule: long non-coding RNA, 2754 nt
Filed under: Lupinus mutabilis
Lineage: Eukaryota; Viridiplantae; Streptophyta; Magnoliopsida; Fabales; Fabaceae
Description: partial ncRNA
Rfam family: small nucleolar RNA snoR128 (bases 1576-1656)
Source: RNAcentral